UACGUAGGGUGCGAGCGUUAAUCGGAAUUACUGGGCGUAAAGAGCGCGCAGGCGGUCGUACAAGUCGCGUGUGAAAGCCCCCGGCUCAACUGGGGAGGGUCACGCGAUACUGUUCGACUCGAAGGCAGGAGAGGGUAGUGGAAUUCCCGGUGUAGCGGUGAAAUGCGUAGAUAUCGAGAGGAACACCUGCGGCGAAGGCGGGUUGCUGGGCUGACACUGACGCUGAAGCGCGAAAGCUAGGGGAGCGAACGGG
Molecule: ribosomal RNA, 253 nt
Filed under: uncultured bacterium
Lineage: Bacteria
Description: partial 16S ribosomal RNA
Rfam family: Bacterial small subunit ribosomal RNA
Source: RNAcentral